RNAcentral lists this ribosomal RNA (440 nucleotides) under Microvelia torquata. RNAcentral's name for it is "partial 16S ribosomal RNA". It matches the Rfam family "Bacterial large subunit ribosomal RNA", at positions 1829 to 2523 of the family's 2925-position model. The record is from RNAcentral. Lineage: Eukaryota; Metazoa; Arthropoda; Insecta; Hemiptera; Veliidae.
GGUCUUUUGUUUUAUAUAUAAGAUCAGGCCUGCCCAUUGAUUUUUGAAAAUUAAAAGGCUGCGGUAUUUUAACUGUACUAAGGUAGCAUAAUCAUUUGUCUUUUAAUUGAAGGCUAGCAUGAAUGGUUUGAUGAAAAAUUAACUUUCUUUUUUAAAUUAUUACGAACUUAAUUUUUUAGUUAAAAAGCUAAAAUUUUUUUAUAGGACGAGAAGACCCUAUAGAAGUUUACUUUUUCUAGUAAAGUUAAAUUUUAGUUUAUAUAUUUUUUUUAUAAAUUAAAAGUUUUGUUGGGGUGACAUUAAAAUUUAUUUAACUUUUAGUUAUUAUUUCAUUAAUUUAUGUUUUAUUGAUCCAAAUUAUUUUGAUUAUAAGAUUAACUUACCUUAGGGAUAACAGCGUAAUUUUUUUAGAGAGUCCAUAUCGAUAAAAAAGCUUGCGA